UGACGCCCUUGCCCAUGACAAUGCUUUUCAAUCAUGGAUACUUCUCAGAAUCAUCCCCCUGCUUAAAACAUUUUAGUGGCAUCAGUUGUUCUUGGCAGAAAGACAAUGAGCUUAGCAGAAGUCCAUGUCAUUGCAAACCAGACCCCGCGUGAUCUAGCUCCCACCUACCUCCCCAAACUGUCUGCACCAUUUGCUCCCUCACUCUCUGCCUGCUGCCAUGCUGGCCUUCUUAGAGUUUCUGGAACGCAUGUGCUGGCUCUUGCUUGUGUGAGCUCCCUCUGCCUGGAAGCUUUCACCCUGCCUCUCUCCCUGGAGAACUCUCCCUUCCGCUCGGGCUGCUCUGUCCGGGUCAGUUCUUGUAAUCACCUCCGUUCCUCUCAUCACAGCUGUAACGCUACAUUUCUUUCUGUCAUUAGUUGAUUAGCACUUAUCUCCUUAAUAAUAUCUAAGGUCCAUAAGGACAGUCUGUGUGGGUUUUACCCAUCAUUUUAUCCCCAGCACCUAGCAUAAGUCUGGCCUAGAGUCAGUCCUUUAUGAUUAUUUGCUGAAUAAAUGGACCUCUGACCAAGUUUUGAGAUCUGAUUCCAUUAUUCACUACCUGUGAUACCUUGAGGUCCUCACUUUGCCUCCAUGAAACUGGUUUUCUUUACCAGUCAAGUGGGAACUGUGUCUACUUGACAGCAUCGUUCUGGGAAAUGAACUAGGCAAUGGAGGUGAAGUUAUUUUGUAGACUACAACCCAAUCUACAAGUGUAAAUUGCUUUUUUGAUUCUGUUGAUUUAUUAUUAUUCUGAAACAGAAGUAAUCAAGGCUUAUAAAGGGAAAAAAUCCAUUGUUGGCCUAAAAGGGAGACUUCUUUUCUGUUCUCUUCCUGCAUUCAGUGUUUCCGCUCAUUGUUCUAUCAAAGCCUGCAUUAAGUAAAGGACUUGACGCAAAGCAUUUGCAUCAUAAUGUUAAUUUAAACACUGGGGAUAUUUGCAUUUUAAAUUUGAUCUCUGAUUGAAGAACAGAAGGCUUUGUCUAUUUUUAAAUAAAUGUCAAACAUCAGUGAGGAGACAGAGACUGAGCCCCUGGGAGUGGGCAGUCAAGCCCACUCCAUCCAGACCUGCCUCGCCAUCUCCUGCCUGCCGCUGAGCCCGGGUGCCGUUUCCAUCAGUGUCCUCUCCAUCGCUGAAGUGAGUUCCUCCUGGCCAGUGAUUCCGCUGUCUUCAAGAACUCCACCAUCUUUACUUACUUCAGUUCCGAAUUCUCCCUAGAACGCAGUGUUUUGUUGAUUUGAGAAUUUUGGGGAAUGUUGUGAUUGUUUCUGGGGAAAUUGGGGGCAGUUUGGAAUUUUGACAAACAAGUACUACCCAGGGGGUGUUUCAGCAGCGGCCCUGCCUCGCCCUCGCUCAGUCCAGCAGCCUCCAAAGUUUCUGGAGGACUAGAGAAGAGAACAGCCUUUUUCGGGGCAUUGGGUCCCGGGAUGCAAAGAAUUAGGAAACAGGUGACAGUGAUAAGUGAGGGAAGGACAGACUGUCACUGCUCUUUCAGGCUCUGCUGGGAGAAAAUGAACUUUUGGAGUGGUUAUUGUUGACAUAUUGGUUGCCAGUAAUCAAUCAUAAGUGCCUGUGAUAAUUUUCUUGGAAUAAAGUCUAUGAUGGGAGGCAUUGUAGGGCAUGCACAGGAAUAUACUUCAUAAUCUCUGACUUCAAGGACUUUACAACUUAGUGGUAGCGAUGAGACAUACACACAAGAAAUUAAAUGAUAACACAAACAAGUAUAAGCCCCCAAAGAGUUGGAAGGACAGCAAGUGCUAUGGGAGCCUAGGGGAGGAAGACCCUACUGUGGGCGGGGUGGUCAGAAGCAUAUGGUUAAAGUCCAGCUACUUUCCACUGUCUGGAAUCCUUCAGUGGUCCAUCAACCCCCUGUGGACUGGGUGGUCAGAACUUGAUCAUGGGAGUGAAGGGGGCUUAGUACAACUUGGAAGCAUGACUAAGGGUAAAUAGCAUUCAAAUAGAUGGUGAAGGAGCAGGUGGUGGGAAGAGACCAUUUCAAGUGGGCAAAACAAGGCCCACCUAGGUUUCUAAAUUCUGAUAUAAUUAACUCCCCGUUACCUCAGGGCUUGCCCCUAACGGUGGUAAUGGAGCACAGGGGAAGUUCUUAAAUGAUGGCAACUGCUGGCCCAGCCUAAUAGCCUACACAUGAGAGAGAUUACAACUGCCAGUCUCACCAGUUCACAGGUGAGGACAUGGAAGAAUGAGUGGGAAGGAGGAGUCAAGGCCUUGGUGAUUUCCACCUCCACGUGGUCUGGACCACAUUCUUCCCUAGAAGUGUUGCUUCCCUCUGCAUAUCACAGUCUGCCGUAACUGGAGAAAAGGAGAACACAGCAGAUCAGGUUAAUCACCUGGAAGACUGGGAAAUCCAAAUUCACUCCAGCCCACGCAAGCUAGGUAACUGCACCAGUCAGACCUGUUGGGGAUCCAGGGACCAGCCUGCACAUCGAUGUGUGGCAACCAGAGAGCUGUUCUGAAGAUUAAAAGGAGACCUCCAUCUAUGUGGGAAGUAUUGCUGCUAUCGGAAUGUUUUCGUAUACAAUCAUCCCCUGCAUAGCGAUGUUUCCGUCACUUAUGGACUGAAUGUAUGACGGCGGUUCCAUAAGAGUCUCUGUCACAGCAAAUAGAAUAAUUGUUCGAGAAUAUCAGCCUCUGUUCUGCUGUUUUUCAAUAGGAAUGCUACUUUUCUCCUCACCUCGAGGACUUCCAGUUUCCCCUUCUUGACUGACAGAAACUGCCCCUACACUUCCUUCUGCCCCAGGUGGUAUUUGCCCUCCUCCUCUAGGGCAAAACUGAAGGGUUGCGGGGAAAGAAACAAUUACCAAGAAGGACAAAUAUGCUAGGAGAAAUGACCUCAUUCGCCCUCUUAGGCUUAGUUUUUGCUUGGGAGGAAGAAAAGAAGCCAUCAGCCUAUGGGAUCUUCAGAGGGUCCACAGCAGAGUUCCACCGAGUCACAGGCUGGGCGUCCGGGGCUGGAGGAUGCUCGCGGAGAACACAGAUGAUGUUUCUGGGAGCAGGAUGAAGCACUGCCAUCAGCGAAGCUAGAAGUGUAGGUUUUUGAGAAGGUCUAAUUACAAGAUUUUGGUAAGUUCUAUAACUCCAUACAUGGAGGCAGAAAACUAAAUAACUAACUUAGUAAGAAAGACAGGAGAAAAAUUCUGUUUUUAUCUCAAGCACAGCUUGUUCACACCCUCCUAAUACUCAUCGAGUGUAAUGAUGUUUAUUUCAUCUCUUUUGAGAAAAAGACAAAAUGGAGAAACUAUGGCUAUUAAAUAUUACUAAGAUCCGUGUGCUUUCUUCCAGAUAGAGGAAAUUCAUGUAUGGCAACAACUGAAACAAGUCACUUUAGGAAUUCACGUAAGAAUCUCUUCAAAAAUUUUGCCAGCUGCUGGCCGGUGCUGUUGUCGAAGUCCAGAGCCUGAUCUGCCUCAGGCCGGGUAGUGGAGUCAGGCUUAGCUGAGUCAUGAUUAUCUGUCUGAGACAGUCACUCCCUAGUAGGCAUCUAACUAUGCACACUCUACACCUUUCUCUUUGGUACUCCCUUGAGUACACAGGCAAAGUGUUGAGCUUGGGGCGGCAAUCCUGAACACAACCUGGUGUUGGGGCGCAGCAGGGAAGGGGUGGGUGGAAGAGGAUUCUAAAAGAGGGAUUGUAGGUUCCACUGCCCAUGGUGCCAGGCAGGAAACCUAAGUAAUCAGGUAUCUAAAAAUAAAACAAGAAAAUUUUCUAUCUCACCACAAUGUUUUCACCUGUCACAGGAGUAAGACUUUUAAAAUAUAUUAGUUUGCUUUCCUCUUUUUCCUUUAUGAAUACAAGCUCUCGAGCUCAGCCUCCCCCAGGCAACCAUCUAUAGGGGUUGGGAGGGCUGGGGAACAUUGAUUACAGAAAUGCUGAGGGAAGAGCACGGACAUACUCAGAUUUUGAUAUUCAAAAUCAGAUUAUUCAGCAAGACAGUAAUGGGCUUGCAAGCCAUGAUAUGGUAUUGAGAAAGCAUGUUCCAGUUCCCUUCAUCUUCCCUUAAGAAUAUCAACAAAUAAGGCUGGAUGAUCAACAAAGAAGCAGAGUCCCCGCAGGAGUGAGGAAGAUGCCCCGUCUGUUCCUGCCAGCCUGGCCCCUCUGAGAGGGGGAGAGGAUAGGACGUAGGAGAAUUAAGAGAACCCUCCUCCGUUUGCUGGUCUUGUAAGAACAUGUACAGAGUAGAGAUAAGAAGGGAGAAGGGAGAUGGCCAGAAUUGUGCUGCCCAUGUUUCCUUCUCCGGGGUUAGGCUUGAGAAACAGGUGUGUUGGGUAAAUGAGGCUGAUGCCAGAGAGAAGGAGCUAACCGUUUCUUGCUUCUCUGGAGCACAGCUGUAGGAAAGCAUACUGAGCGGUCAGCACAGAGAAGCUGGCAGUGGAGCUUUCCUGAGUUGCCCCAAUUCCUCUGUCAGGGAGUCACUGAAUUGAGAGCCAGUGGAACUGUUAAGGGGGUUGAUACAGCAGUGUGCAGUGACCCUCAGCUGAGGAUGUGGUCAGUGGCUCGUGGGCCUGCAGCCCGUGGAAGCCAAACUAUGAUGAGUCAGCACAGGAGCACCAUCUGAGCCAGAAGAACGAGCCUGGGUCAUACCAACUUCAGCAGUGAAGGCCAGCAGAGCCCAGCGGCACCCAGGCAGACAAGGGCCAUUGUUCCGGAGGCCAGCCCAGGCCAACCAAUGCAGACAGAGCCCCAGUUCAGGAUUAGGGGGGGCUCCCAAUGUCCCCAAGGACUCACAUACCUGACCCCCUGCACACCUGGAUACCAAGCUGGAGAGACGCAGGGGCAGGCAGAGGUUGCUGAGGGCUGAGAAGUGCUCUUAAGCCUUGAGUUCAGUUUGGCUCUGUGCAACAGAGGAGACCAGGGCUGCUGCGGCAGGUCCUUCUCUUCUAUGCUUGGGUCCUGACCUUAGAGAACUGUGAAAAUGUGUCAAGUAUGAAAACAGGAGAUAUGUAAGUGGAAACUGUAGCAUCUGUGAGAGUUGACUCAAUCCAAUGAACAAGACCAGUGUAAGUCUCUUAGAAGAUAGAUCAAGGAAGCAUUCAGGAGAAUGUCUGGAUUGAGACAUAAAAGACAAGUGGGAAUUUGGCAAAUAAAUGUAGUUGGGUGGAUGGGUGGUGAUUCCAGGUAGAAGAAAUAAGAUGUGCAAAGGACAAGAAGUGAGAGGGAAAAAAUUAACAUUCAUAUGACUGUAAGUUGGCUAGUUUGGUUGGACCAUAGCUUGUAAGAAGCUGAGAAUGAUGUAUUUGGAGAUAUAAAUGGCAGAUUGAAAAGAACCUUGAUGUCUUGUUAACCAUUAAAGACAUUAAUAUGGGAAGAAUCCACUCCUCCACAAAAUGUGCUGGGCACAAGGAUUUUACAGGAUAUUCAAAGCACAAAUAGACCCUGCUGCAUCUAAGUUUUUCCAGAACACCGUAAAAGAAGGAAAGCUUCCUGAAUCACUGUACAGGGACAGAUUAAGUUUGAUAUAAAAGCCAGACAAAGACACUACAAAAAUAAAAUUACAAGGCCAUUUCUUUCAUGCACAUAGAUAUGAAAGUCUUAAUAUAUUACACAGACAAAUAGCUUUUCUUAAUGUGUCCUGACUAGAUACAGUUUAUCUCAGGAGAAGAGUGAUUCAGCAUCAGAAAAUGUAUUAGUUUACCAUACUUACAG
RNAcentral lists this long non-coding RNA (5698 nucleotides) under Equus caballus (horse). RNAcentral's name for it is "lncRNA (ENSECAG00000029802.3)". Lineage: Eukaryota; Metazoa; Chordata; Mammalia; Perissodactyla; Equidae. The record is from RNAcentral.